This 1090-nucleotide long non-coding RNA is filed under the name Homo sapiens (human). RNAcentral describes it as "HSALNT0299603". Lineage: Eukaryota; Metazoa; Chordata; Mammalia; Primates; Hominidae. The record is from RNAcentral.
CAAGGGAUCCUCCUACCACUUGCCCCAACUUGGACUAUAGCGUUAGGGAACAAAGGUUUUCUUCCUCCGAGGAGACUUCCCUGCCUCACACUGCUGCUUUGCUUCAGGUCUCUCUGCUCUGUGUUCUGGUAAUAUCCUGUGCUUUCUAUUGUCAGAUUAAUUGUCCUUAUGCUAGACUGUAAACUCCAGGAAGCCAGGUACUUUUAAAAUAUUACAUUUCUUUCUAAACACAAUGUCUGGCACAUGGUAACAAAUAUCUGUGGGAUGAAUAAAUGUUAAACUGGCAUUUUGAAUCUGGUUUGGUACCAUGUUCACUUUAAAUGCCGUUGAGGGCCAACUGUGAGGUACUUAAUACAUUAAAUGUUUUGCAUAUUUUAUUUACUCCUUAAAACAAAGUUAACAGUGUUGCCUCCAUGUUAUAGAUAAGAAGUCUGAAGCUAGAAAAGUUAACUAAGUUGUCCUCUAAAUAUUAUAAAUAUUAAGUGUGAAGCCAAGAUUCUCAGUCCAUGUCUAAAGCUCAUACCGUAUACCAUAUGCUAAGUACGUUGCCUCAUGCGGUGGUUAGAAGGGAUAUUUAUCCACAGUUAUUUUCAUUUAAAGGAAGCUUCUAAAUGGUAAUAUUAUUUCUUAAUAGUAUUUCUGAGCACUGCCCUUUACCGUGUGCAAAGCAGUCUGCUUGCUGUAUUCUCUAUCUGCUUUUCUUGUGCGUUUUUCAUGAGAGUCAUAUAACAUAGGUAGUUCCCCAAAGGAUAUUAAUGUACUGGCCUAUACCUCGAAGACUCUCGCUUAUUGUGUAGUCCCUUUUUCAUAUUCUGUGCACAAAAAGGUUUUUUUUUUUUAUAUCAGAAAGUAUAACAUUGUAUAACAUAGGAUUGUAUAACAAUCUUAUAAUGUAUAACAGGAUUCACAUCAUACACGGCGGGAGGGGUAAACUAUGUAAUAAGUGGUCAAUUUCUCCCACCCUUUCUCUCAUUGUCAUAUUGUCUAUAGAGACCAAGAGGUAAAACAUAGUUUGUUGUUCUUGGGUCAGUCUCAGUUCUUAUAUGGUCUCCUCAGUAACAUGAGUGACUGACAAUUUUUUUUUUUUUUU